AACGAACGCUGGCGGCAGGCCUAACACAUGCAAGUCGAACGCUCGUAGCAAUACGAGAGUGGCAGACGGGUGAGUAACACGUGGGAACCUUCCCUAUGGUUCGGAAUAGCUCAGGGAAACUUGGGGUAAUACCGGAUAAGCCCUUCGGGGGAAAGAUUUAUCGCCAUUGGAUGGGCCCGCGUCGGAUUAGCUAGUUGGUGAGGUAACGGCUCACCAAGGCAACGAUCCGUAGCUGGUCUGAGAGGAUGAUCAGCCACACUGGGACUGAGACACGGCCCAGACUCCUACGGGAGGCAGCAGUGGGGAAUAUUGGACAAUGGGCGCAAGCCUGAUCCAGCGAUGCCGCGUGUGUGAAGAAGGCCUGCGGGUUGUAAAGCACUUUCAGUAGGGAAGAAAG
RNAcentral lists this ribosomal RNA (397 nucleotides) under uncultured bacterium. RNAcentral describes it as "bacterial SSU rRNA". It matches the Rfam family "Bacterial small subunit ribosomal RNA", at positions 29 to 451 of the family's 1533-position model. The record is from RNAcentral.